RNAcentral lists this unclassified non-coding RNA (252 nucleotides) under Anthracothecium prasinum. RNAcentral describes it as "partial contains 5.8S ribosomal RNA, internal transcribed spacer 2, and large subunit ribosomal RNA". Lineage: Eukaryota; Fungi; Ascomycota; Eurotiomycetes; Pyrenulales; Pyrenulaceae. The record is from RNAcentral.
CGCACAUUGCGCCCUCUGGCAUUCCGGAGGGCAUACCUGCUCGAGCGUCAUAUACCUCCCUCAAGCCCACGCUUGGUCGUGAGCCCGUCGUUCUUCAACACAGAACGUACCUCAGAACACGUCGCGAUUCGGAUCAACUUUGCAAGCGUAGUCAAUAUCUUCCCGCUUGGAAAAAGUCGACGCCGCGUCCGUUUGCAACCGAUGGAACGAUCGAUUGACCUCGGAUCAGGUAGGAGUACCCGCUGAACUUAA